This 380-nucleotide unclassified non-coding RNA is filed under the name uncultured Chlamydiales bacterium. Its description in RNAcentral is "contains 16S-23S intergenic spacer region". Lineage: Bacteria; Pseudomonadati; Chlamydiota; Chlamydiia; Chlamydiales. The record is from RNAcentral.
UCCUGGUUAACCCAGGCAGUCUCGCUAGAGUGCCUACCAUUACGUACUGGCAACUAACGACAAGGGUUGCGCUCGUUGCGGGACUUAACCCAACACCUCACGGCACGAGCUGACGACAGCCAUGCAGCACCUGUGCAGAUGUCUCUUGCGAGAACGCGCUAUUUCUAGCGUUGUCAUCUACAUGUCAAACCCAGGUAAGGUUCUUCGCGUUGCAUCGAAUUAAACCACAUGCUCCACUGCUUGUGCGGGUCCCCGUCAAUUCUUUUGAGUUUUACCCUUGCGAGCGUACUCCCCAGGCGGUACACUUAUCGCGUUCGCUACGGCACAGGUGGGGUUGAGUCCACCUACGCCAAGUGUACAUCGUUUACGGCAAGGACUAC